This is a transfer RNA of Camelus ferus (Wild Bactrian camel), 73 nucleotides long. It matches the Rfam family "tRNA". Rfam says of the family: Transfer RNA (tRNA) molecules are approximately 80 nucleotides in length. NCBI's taxonomy places the organism in Eukaryota, Metazoa, Chordata, Mammalia, Artiodactyla, Camelidae. The record is from Rfam.
GAGGGUAUAGCUCAAGUGGUAGAGCACAUGCUUAGCAUACACAAGGUCCUGGGUUCAGUACCCAGUACCUCCU